GAUGAACGCUGGCGGCGUGCCUAAUACAUGCAAGUCGAGCGAACAGACGAGGAGCUUGCUCCUCUGACGUUAGCGGCGGACGGGUGAGUAACACGUGGAUAACCUACCUAUAAGACUGGGAUAACUUCGGGAAACCGGAGCUAAUACCGGAUAAUAUAUUGAACCGCAUGGUUCAAUAGUGAAAGACGGUUUUGCUGUCACUUAUAGAUGGAUCCGCGCCGCAUUAGCUAGUUGGUAAGGUAACGGCUUACCAAGGCAACGAUUCGUAGCCGACCUGAGAGGGUGAUCGGCCACACUGGAACUGAGACACGGUCCAGACUCCUACGGGAGGCAGCAGUGGGGAAUCUUCCGCAAUGGGCGAAAGCCUGACGGAGCAACGCCGCGUGAGUGAUGAAGGUCUUCGGAUCGUAAAACUCUGUUAUUAGGGAAGAACAAAUGUGUAAGUAACUAUGCACGUCUUGACGGUACCUAAUCAGAAAGCCACGGCUAACUACGUG
RNAcentral lists this ribosomal RNA (497 nucleotides) under uncultured bacterium. RNAcentral's name for it is "partial 16S ribosomal RNA". It matches the Rfam family "Bacterial small subunit ribosomal RNA", at positions 28 to 507 of the family's 1533-position model. The record is from RNAcentral.